This 940-nucleotide ribosomal RNA is filed under the name Apilactobacillus kunkeei. RNAcentral's name for it is "bacterial SSU rRNA". It matches the Rfam family "Bacterial small subunit ribosomal RNA", at positions 521 to 1454 of the family's 1533-position model. Lineage: Bacteria; Bacillati; Bacillota; Bacilli; Lactobacillales; Lactobacillaceae. The record is from RNAcentral.
UAAUUCCGUAGGUGGCCAAGCGGUUGUCCCGGAUUUAUUGGGCCGUAAGGCGAGCGCAAGCGGUUUUUGUAAGUCUGCUGUGAAAGCCCUCAGCUCCACUGAGGAAGUGCAGUGGAAACUACAAAACUUGAGUACAGAAGAGGAAAGUGGAACUCCAUGUGUAGCGGUGAAAUGCGUAGAUAUAUGGAAGAACACCAGUGGCGAAGGCGGCUUUCUGGUCUGUUACUGACGCUGAGGCUCGAAAGCAUGGGUAGCGAACAGGAUUAGAUACCCUGGUAGUCCAUGCCGUAAACGAUGAAUACUAGGUGUUGGAGGGUUUCCGCCCUUCAGUGCCGCAGCUAACGCAUUAAGUAUUCCGCCUGGGGAGUACGACCGCAAGGUUGAAACUCAAAGGAAUUGACGGGGGCCCGCACAAGUGGUGGAGCAUGUGGUUUAAUUCGAUGCUACGCGAAGAACCUUACCAGCUCUUGACAUCUUCUGCCAACCCAAGAGAUUGGGCGUUCCCUUCGGGGACAGAAUGACAGGUGGUGCAUGGUUGUCGUCAGCUCGUGUCGUGAGAUGUUGGGUUAAGUCCCGCAACGAGCGCAACCCUUAUUAUUAGUUGCCAGCAUUUAGUUGGGCACUCUAGUGAGACUGCCGGUGAUAAACCGGAGGAAGGUGGGGACGACGUCAAAUCAUCAUGCCCCUUAUGAGCUGGGCUACACACGUGCUACAAUGGAUGGUACAACGAGUCGCGAAACCGCGAGGUCAAGCUAAUCUCUUAAAGCCAUUCUCAGUUCGGAUUGCAGGCUGCAACUCGCCUGCAUGAAGUUGGAAUCACUAGUAAUCGUGGAUCAGCAUGCCACGGUGAAUACGUUCCCGGGCCUUGUACACACCGCCCGUCACAGCAUGAGAGUUUGUAACACCCAAAGACGAUGGGGUAACCUUUUAGGAGCUAGUC